This is a long non-coding RNA of Cyprinodon variegatus (sheepshead minnow), 948 nucleotides long. RefSeq lists it as uncharacterized. The record is from RefSeq and is a predicted model, not a curated record. The transcript has 3 exons. NCBI's taxonomy places the organism in Eukaryota, Metazoa, Chordata, Actinopteri, Cyprinodontiformes, Cyprinodontidae.
UCCGGCUCCCCUCAGUCCAAAUGCCAGUUCCUGUUGACGCAGUGCCAGCACCAUGCCAGAUCAUCAAGGAGGACGCUGACAAGUGCCUUCAAGAAAAGAAAGAUGACUGCAAGGAUCUGAUGGAUGCCUUUCAGGCCUGCAUAAAAACACUGUCUGAGGGAUCCUAGUAAAUGAAGAAACAUGGAUUUAAAAACAAGACGUCUGACGGGACCAUUUGGAAAACCCUUAAAUAACCCAAGGAAAAGAGAUGUUGCCAUACAGCCCUCAGGAGAUUCUACAUAGUUUCUAAACUGAAACUGAAAUCCAUUUUUGCAAAACUUUAAAAACAAAGACUAUUAUUGCAACCACAUUAUUAUUCUGAGCAUAAAACCCAAAGUCAUUGCAUGAAGCAGCACACUCCUUUAACAGUGUAAAGUGUCAUAGAAAUAACACAAUUGUCUACGUUUUUCGGUCAGAAAGAAGCAAACAUGCAUGAGAAAGUGAUUCUAGCUGAAUGCCUAAGAGACUCUGAAGGUUGUAGGUCUCUACUCUCUGAAGGAUCAUAAUGUCGUCGUACUGUUCCACCCACAGUGUCAGUUUGUGUGACCCGAGAACAAAAUGAUUGCAGCUUCAUUCAGUUUAUUCCCAUUAAUAUACUGUAGAUAUUUUAAAUAAUAUUUCAUAUUUAAUAUUUUUCCUCUGUAAAAAACCCCUUACCUAAUAUAUUUGCCUAUUCUAGGGCUUUCCAAAAAAGUUAAAAAAAACAAUCCACUGGACUUGGUUUGAAACGAGUUUAGUUCCUAUAAUCAGCAAGUUUCCUAAGCAAUUUCUAAUACAUUAUGACUCAUUUUUCUAGGGAUUUACUCAUAGCACAGAAUGGAGAUACCAGAAAACUCAAGAUGAAUGAUGUAGCUCCAACAUGUGCAAUGAUACACUUGUUCAAAUUAAGAUAAUGAAUAAUAAACAAAU